UAAUCUACUGUAGUUUACAGAGCUCUAGAGAUGGAGGACGGAGACGAGGUUAAACACUGAGAUAAUCUACUGUAGUUUACAGAGCUCUAGAGAUGGAGGAUGGAGACGAGGUUAAACACUGAGAUAAUCUACUGUAGUUUACAGAGCUCUAGAGAUGGAGGGCAGAGGGGAGGUUAAACACUGAGAUAAUCUACUGUAGUUUACAGAGCUCUAGAGAUGGAGGACGGAGACGAGGUUAAACACUGAGAUAAUCUACUGUAGUUUACAGAGCUCUAGAGAUGGAGGACAGAGAGGAGGUUAAACACUGAGAUAAUCUACUGUAGUUUACAGAGCUCUAAAGAUGGAGGACAGAGAGGAGGUUAAACACUGAGAUAAUCUACUGUAGUUUACAGAGCUCUAAAGAUGGAGGACAGAGAGGAGGUUAAACACUGAGAUAAUCUACUGUAGUUUACAGAGCUCUAAAGAUGGAGGACAGAGAGGAGGUUAAACACUGAGAUAAUCUACUGUAGUUUACAGAGCUCUAGAGAUGGAGGACAGAGAGGAGGUUAAACACUGAGAUAAUCUACUGUAGUUUACAGAGCUCUAAAGAUGGAGGACAGAGAGGAGGUUAAACACUGAGAUAAUCUACUGUAGUUUACAGAGCUCUAAAGAUGGAGGACAGAAAGGAGGUUAAACACUGAGAUAAUCUACUGUAGUUUACAGAGCUCUAAAGAUGGAGGACAGAGAGGAGGUUAAACACUGAGAUAAUCUACUGUAGUUUACAGAGCUCUAAAGAUGGAGGACAGAGAGGAGGUUAAACACUGAGAUAAUCUACUGUAGUUUACA
Molecule: long non-coding RNA, 825 nt
Organism: Oncorhynchus keta (chum salmon)
Lineage: Eukaryota; Metazoa; Chordata; Actinopteri; Salmoniformes; Salmonidae
Exons: 3
Source: RefSeq, a predicted model, not a curated record